GCGACCUCAAUCUCGCCGCCGCAAUCUCGCUGCCCCUCUUCUCGUCUGCUAACCCUAGGUGCGCUCCAUCUCUGACCUCAAUCUCACCACCGCAAUCUCGCCGACCUCAAUCUCUGACUGCCACGCUGCGCUCCCAUCUCACUGCCCCUCUUCUCGUCUGCUAACCCUAGGUGCGGCGAUUCGCGCUGCCUGCCACGACGUGCCCCUAUCUCGUCGCCCUGGUCCUCGUCGCUACCCUAGGCUUCGCGAUCUGCGCCGCAUCCCCCAUCUCGCCGCCCCUAUUGUCUGGUAACCCUAGCCGCACCGCCUAGUCCCCCUCGCACUGCCUGCUUUCCUCCCUGUUCUCAUUUUCUCUAUCCUUGUCGCAUCUCCGAUCGAUUCAUGCUCCAGAUGCUUGGAAUCUGGUGUUCUGCAGCUCUGACUCUUCUCUAACGAGGUGAUUUUGUUCUAUCACUCUUUGAUUUUUGGUUAUUUGGAAUCUGAGGCAUUGUGAUGCUCCAGUGAAGAAGAACAUUUACAUAACAUAUUUUCAGUCCUAAUCGAAACUUUGAUUUCACCAGCAAGAAUUAAUUUCUUUCGCCUCCGUCGGUCCGGCCCCAGCCCCACCGGCCGACUACCGAAAUAUGCUUCUACCGGUGGAACAACGCCACACAGAAAUUCAUCGGGCGCCAGAGGUCCCAGAAAGAGAUAGAAGACGAGCUUCACCUCGGAAAAUGAUUCGAUUCUCCCUUGACCAUUUCUGUGUCAGUAUAGUUACACAGAGACGCCGAAGGUGAAUCUGGUGAAUUGCGGGAGCCGUUGGUGUCCCUAUUUGGGCCCGAAACGAUGGCGAAGCCGUGUCUGGGGCGGAGGCCGCUGCCGGAGUUCGAUUCGCUUAAGCUGUCGCUGACUCAUAAAAUGGCGCGAAGCCGGUCCAGGCGCCCGGUCCAUAUCUUCCCGGUUCUAGGCCCAAGCAUGUGAGAUCCAGAGAGGAGAUUCGUGGGGAGCCAUUGACUAAGGAGGAAAUUCAGGCGCUCAAAGAAAGCAAAUAUGGGUAAAGAUUGUAUUUUUAGUUGAUUGUUGCUAUGUGGCUUUGAUAGUUGGUUUGUUUGGUUCUGUUUUAUCUUUUUUGCUAGUGGUGUAGUUAUAAUCUGCCAAUGUGGUAGUGAAAAAUCUUGUCCGGGUUGAAAGUUUCUUUGGAUAUAUGUCUUCAAUACUUUAGAUAACCAAACAGAUAUAAGUACAGAGAUGACAAAUUCUGAGCCACCUUCAUGGUCUGUUAGGGACUGAGUUGUGACUGAGUUGUACUUGUUCCUAACUCCCAUUUGCAGGGACUUGGAUUUCGACAUGCAUUCUGCCGGGAUUUAUCAGAUUUCCAGGUUAAUGCUUACUCAAAGAACUAUUUUGUUGGGUUAAGCCCGCUGUCUUUUGCAGCAAAAUAUGGCGAAAGAUUUAUUGCAUCUUUGCUUGAAGAGUAGAUCCAAAUUUAUUGCAUCUUUGCUUGAAGAGUGGAUAAUCAAAAUCUAGGCAAACUCGCUGAAUGUGCCCAAUUCUUUGAAUUGAUAAAGUGAGUGAUUGGACCUGUGAAGCCAUGGCUCUGGUUUGUGGUGGAUUAAAUGAGUCGUACGUUGAGCUGAAGAGGCUUGUGAAUUCACAAGAAAAGUUGUACCAUAUGGCUAGCUAGUUGCAUAUUUAAUAUGUUUAGUAUUUUUGUAAGGCAUAAUAGUAUAGAUAGAGCAGUUGUUGAAUUUUGACUAUAUUCAAAUCUUGUAUGAAUUCUUUUUUAUGAUAAUAAUAUAAAAUUAAAUA
Long non-coding RNA from Salvia miltiorrhiza (redroot sage), 1788 nucleotides. RefSeq lists it as uncharacterized. The record is from RefSeq and is a predicted model, not a curated record. NCBI's taxonomy places the organism in Eukaryota, Viridiplantae, Streptophyta, Magnoliopsida, Lamiales, Lamiaceae. The transcript is spliced from 4 exons.